UUCUUUAUAUUAUUCUAAUACUUUUAGUGUAUUAAACCAGUUUGGGAGGCACUGACAGCAGUGCCUCCCGUAAACAGUGGAAACGGGGUUAAAGCGGGGGGCGGGGCCAAGCACUGGGCUGUAAAAGCCCGUUAAAACAAGAGGGGAAUGCGGCACUUCUACAAGUGCCUCGCUGGCAGGGAAAGCACGCCCCUGCCAGCGAGGAACAUGUGAUUGGACAGCGGAUCCAGUCCUGGAUCCGCUGGCCCAAUCACAAGUACACAGCGGCAGGACAAGGAAGGGACUCUGAAGCUCCCCUUCCAUCAUUCCCCCUGACCCCUCUUCUGACGAAGGGACAGCAUCCGCCAGCACCACCAGUCAGAUCCUGCUGGCCUCUCAUCUGGCGCAACACAGUUGCUGAGAUCCACUGGCAGUAAAUAAUUGAAAAUAUGAGAGCCACAAGUUGCUUAAAUAUAAAGUAUUAUGUGUAUUCUGGGUGCUAGUUAUUGAACUCCAAAAGAACUGAGUUUGGAUAUGCUAUACCUGUACGACGUCUUAAGACAUACUAAGAAGAAUGUUUCUGCUACCAUCUACAAAGAGAUAAUUACUUUUCCAAAAUAUUUCUCAUUAAACAUAAAGAAGACUUUU
Long non-coding RNA from Pseudophryne corroboree (corroboree frog), 627 nucleotides. RefSeq lists it as uncharacterized. The transcript has 2 exons. Lineage: Eukaryota; Metazoa; Chordata; Amphibia; Anura; Myobatrachidae. The record is from RefSeq and is a predicted model, not a curated record.